GCGGACGUGGUGCACGGCGCACCGCUGCAUUCUAUGAGCGAGCGGACUUCUUCAUUGCAAGCAGUUGAGCGGGGUUCGACUCCCCGCGUCCGCU
Molecule: non-coding RNA, 94 nt
Organism: Mycena latifolia
Lineage: Eukaryota; Fungi; Basidiomycota; Agaricomycetes; Agaricales; Mycenaceae
Source: the annotation of a GenBank genome assembly